GAUGAACGCUGGCGGCGUGCCUAAUACAUGCAAGUCGAGCGAACAGACGAGGCGCUUGCUCCUCUGACGUUAGCGGCGGACGGGUGAGUAACACGUGGAUAACCUACCUAUAAGACUGGGAUAACUUCGGGAAACCGGAGCUAAUACCGGAUAAUAUAUUGAACCGCAUGGUUCAAUAGUGAAAGACGGUUUUGCUGUCACUUAUAGAUGGAUCCGCGCCGCAUUAGCUAGUUGGUAAGGUAACGGCUUACCAAGGCAACGAUGCGUAGCCGACCUGAGAGGGUGAUCGGCCACACUGGAACUGAGACACGGUCCAGAGUCCUACGGGAGGCAGCAGUAGGGAAUCUUCCGCAAUGGGCGAAAGCUUGACGGAGCAACGCCGCGUGAGUGAUGAAGGUCUUCGGAUCGUAAAACUCUGUUAUUAGGGAAGAACAAAUGUGUAAGUAACUAUGCACGUCUUGACGGUACCUAAUCAGAAAGCCACGGCUAACUACGUG
This 497-nucleotide ribosomal RNA is filed under the name uncultured bacterium. Its description in RNAcentral is "partial 16S ribosomal RNA". It matches the Rfam family "Bacterial small subunit ribosomal RNA", at positions 28 to 507 of the family's 1533-position model. The record is from RNAcentral.